CCUACGGGCGGCAGCAGUAGGGAAUAUUGCUCAAUGGGGGAAACCCUGAAGCAGCAACGCCGCGUGGAGGAUGAAGGUUUUCGGAUUGUAAACUCCUUUUGUUAGAGAAGAUAAUGACGGUAUCUAACGAAUAAGCACCGGAUAACUCCGUGCCAGCAGCCGCGGUAAUACGGAGGGUGCAAGCGUUACUCGGAAUCACUGGGCGUAAAGAGAGCGUAGGCGGGAUAGCAAGUCAGAUGUGAAAUCCUAUGGCUUAACCAUAGAACUGCAUUUGAAACUGUUAUUCUAGAGUAUGGGAGAGGUAGGUGGAAUUCUUGGUGUAGGGGUAAAAUCCGUAGAGAUCAAGAGGAAUACUCAUUGCGAAGGCGACCUGCUAGGACAUAACUGACGCUGAUGCGCGAAAGCGUGGGGAGCAAACAGGAUUAGAUACCCGGGUAGUC
RNAcentral lists this ribosomal RNA (440 nucleotides) under uncultured bacterium. RNAcentral's name for it is "partial 16S ribosomal RNA". It matches the Rfam family "Bacterial small subunit ribosomal RNA", at positions 338 to 795 of the family's 1533-position model. The record is from RNAcentral.